RNAcentral lists this transfer RNA (72 nucleotides) under Agelas schmidtii (Pipes of Pan sponge). RNAcentral describes it as "tRNA-Ala". It matches the Rfam family "tRNA". Rfam says of the family: Transfer RNA (tRNA) molecules are approximately 80 nucleotides in length. Their secondary structure includes four short double-helical elements and three loops (D, anti-codon, and T loops). Further hydrogen bonds mediate the characteristic L-shaped molecular structure. tRNAs have two regions of fundamental functional importance: the anti-codon, which is responsible for specific mRNA codon recognition, and the 3' end, to which the tRNAs corresponding amino acid is attached (by aminoacyl-tRNA synthetases). tRNAs cope with the degeneracy of the genetic code in two manners: having more than one tRNA (with a specific anti-codon) for a particular amino acid; and 'wobble' base-pairing, i.e. permitting non-standard base-pairing at the 3rd anti-codon position. Lineage: Eukaryota; Metazoa; Porifera; Demospongiae; Agelasida; Agelasidae. The record is from RNAcentral.
GGGGUUUUAGUUUAAUCGGUUGAACGGGAGUUUUGCAUACUUUAGGAAUUGGUUCAAGCCCAAUAAACUCCA